UGGGGAAUUUUGCACAAUGGGGGAAACCCUGAUGCAGCGACGCCGCGUGAUUUAGAAGGCCUUCGGGUUGUAAAAAUCUUUUCUAUGGGAAGAAAAUGACAGUACCAUAGGAAUAAGGACCGGCUAAUUACGUGCCAGCAGCCGCGGUAAUACGUAAGGUCCGAGCGUUGUCCGGAAUCAUUGGGCGUAAAGGGUACGUAGGCGGGUAAUCAAGUUAGAAGUGAAAUCCUAUAGCUCAACUAUAGUAAGCUUUUAAAACUGCUCAUCUUGAGGUAUGGAAGGGAAAGUGGAAUUCCUAGUGUAGCGGUGAAAUGCGCAGAUAUUAGGAGGAAUACCGGUGGCGAAGGCGACUUUCUGGCCAUAACCUGACGCUGAGGUACGAAAGCGUGGGUAGCAAACAGG
This 402-nucleotide ribosomal RNA is filed under the name bacterium. RNAcentral's name for it is "partial 16S ribosomal RNA". It matches the Rfam family "Bacterial small subunit ribosomal RNA", at positions 355 to 776 of the family's 1533-position model. The record is from RNAcentral.